UCAACGAGUCGGGUUGUUUGGGAAUGCAGCCCAAAUCGGGCGGUAGACUCCGUCCAAGGCUAAAUACAGGCGAGAGACCGAUAGCGAACAAGUACCGCGAGGGAAAGAUGAAAAGGACUUUGAAAAGAGAGUCAAAGAGUGCUUGAAAUUGCCGGGAGGGAAGCAGAUGGGGGCCGGCGAUGCGCCCCGGCCGUAUGCGGAACGGCUCUUGCUGGUCCGCCGCUCGGCUCGAGGUGUGGACUGUUGUCGGCCGCGCCGGCGGCUAAAGCCCGGGGGCCUUAGGUGCCCCCGGUGGCCGUCGUCGGCACGGCCGGUACCCGCGCGCCGAAAGGCGUGUCCCUCGGGGCACUGCGCUGCAACGGCCUGCGGGCUCCCCAU
This 378-nucleotide ribosomal RNA is filed under the name Triticum aestivum (bread wheat). Its description in RNAcentral is "partial small subunit ribosomal RNA". It matches the Rfam family "Eukaryotic large subunit ribosomal RNA", at positions 257 to 643 of the family's 3401-position model. The record is from RNAcentral. Lineage: Eukaryota; Viridiplantae; Streptophyta; Magnoliopsida; Poales; Poaceae.